GACGACGCUGGCGGCGUGCCUAACACAUGCAAGUCGAGCGGGGCGACCGGAGGCGGUAGAGAUACCGAGGAAGGGCGCCUAGCGGCGAACGGGUGAGUAACGCGUGGGCAAUCUGCCCCCGGGAGCGGGAUAACAGACCGAAAGGCCUGCUAAUACCGCAUGAAGCCGUCAUAUCACAUGGUAAGACGGUAAAAGGGGAAACCCGCCGUGGGGAGGAGCCCGCGUCCCAUUAGCUAGUUGGUGGUGUAACGGACCACCAAGGCGAUGAUGGGUAGCCGGCCUGAGAGGGUGAACGGCCACAUUGGGACUGAGACACGGCCCAGACUCCGUACGGGGGGCAGCAGUGAGGGAUUUUCGGCAAUGGGCGAAAGCCUGACCGAGCGACGCCGCGUGAGCGAAGAAGGCCUUCGGGUCGUAAAGCUCUGUCUAGGGGGAAGAGAAAGGACGGUACCUCUGGAGGAAGCCACGGCUAACUACGUG
This 480-nucleotide ribosomal RNA is filed under the name uncultured bacterium. RNAcentral's name for it is "bacterial SSU rRNA". It matches the Rfam family "Bacterial small subunit ribosomal RNA", at positions 33 to 507 of the family's 1533-position model. The record is from RNAcentral.